RNAcentral lists this ribosomal RNA (333 nucleotides) under Chitinophagaceae bacterium. RNAcentral's name for it is "bacterial SSU rRNA". It matches the Rfam family "Bacterial small subunit ribosomal RNA", at positions 1 to 329 of the family's 1533-position model. Lineage: Bacteria; Pseudomonadati; Bacteroidota; Chitinophagia; Chitinophagales; Chitinophagaceae. The record is from RNAcentral.
ACAAUGGAGAGUUUGAUCCUGGCUCAGGAUGAACGCUAGCGGCAGGCUUAAUACAUGCAAGUCGUGGGGCAGCAUGGUGUAGCAAUACACUGAUGGCGACCGGCAAACGGGUGCGGAACACGUACACAACUUUCCUACAAGUGGGGAAUAGCCCAGAGAAAUUUGGAUUAAUACCCCGUAACAUAGUGAUAUGGCAUCAUAUUACUAUUAUAGCUUCGGCGCUUGUUGAUGGGUGUGCGGCUGAUUAGAUAGUUGGCGGGGUAACGGCCCACCAAGUCUACGAUCAGUAGCUGAUGUGAGAGCAUGAUCAGCCACACGGGCACUGAGACACGG